RNAcentral lists this ribosomal RNA (187 nucleotides) under Actinomycetota bacterium. Its description in RNAcentral is "partial 23S ribosomal RNA". It matches the Rfam family "Bacterial large subunit ribosomal RNA", at positions 2740 to 2925 of the family's 2925-position model. The record is from RNAcentral. Lineage: Bacteria; Bacillati; Actinomycetota.
GCUGUUUAGCUACGUGCGGAUCCGAUAAGCGCUGAAAGCAUCUAAGUGCGAAACGGACCUCAAGAUGAGGUUUCCCAUCCCUUCGGGGAGUAAGAGCCCUUGCUAGACGACAAGGUUGAUAGGCCGGAGCUGUAAGUGCAGCAAUGCAUUCAGGCGACCGGUACUAAUAGCUCGAGGACUUGGUUUU